ACCUGGUUGGCUCAGUUGGUUAAGCAUCUGACUUCGGCUCAGGUCAUGAUCUCGCUGUUCGUGAGUUCGAGCCCCACAUCAGGCU
Molecule: transfer RNA, 85 nt
Filed under: Felis catus (domestic cat)
Lineage: Eukaryota; Metazoa; Chordata; Mammalia; Carnivora; Felidae
Rfam family: tRNA
About the family: Transfer RNA (tRNA) molecules are approximately 80 nucleotides in length. Their secondary structure includes four short double-helical elements and three loops (D, anti-codon, and T loops).
Source: Rfam by way of RNAcentral